Molecule: ribosomal RNA, 90 nt
Filed under: Salmonella enterica subsp. enterica serovar Dublin
Lineage: Bacteria; Pseudomonadati; Pseudomonadota; Gammaproteobacteria; Enterobacterales; Enterobacteriaceae
Also listed under: 1 other name
Source: RNAcentral
ACCUGACCCCAUGUCGAACUCAGAAGUGAAACGCCGUAGCGCCGAUGGUAGUGUGGGGUCUCCCCAUGCGAGAGUAGGGAACUGCCAGGC